This 486-nucleotide ribosomal RNA is filed under the name Dietzia sp. EBKC96. RNAcentral's name for it is "bacterial SSU rRNA". It matches the Rfam family "Bacterial small subunit ribosomal RNA", at positions 380 to 877 of the family's 1533-position model. Lineage: Bacteria; Bacillati; Actinomycetota; Actinomycetes; Mycobacteriales; Dietziaceae. The record is from RNAcentral.
AGCCUGAUGCAGCGACGCCGCGUGGGGGAUGACGGUCUUCGGAUUGUAAACCCCUUUCAGUAGGGACGAAGCGCAAGUGACGGUACCUGCAGAAGAAGCACCGGCUAACUACGUGCCAGCAGCCGCGGUAAUACGUAGGGUGCGAGCGUUGUCCGGAAUUACUGGGCGUAAAGAGCUCGUAGGCGGUUUGUCACGUCGUCUGUGAAAUCCCUCGGCUUAACCGGGGGCGUGCAGGCGAUACGGGCAGACUUGAGUACUACAGGGGAGACUGGAAUUCCUGGUGUAGCGGUGAAAUGCGCAGAUAUCAGGAGGAACACCGGUGGCGAAGGCGGGUCUCUGGGUAGUAACUGACGCUGAGGAGCGAAAGCAUGGGUAGCGAACAGGAUUAGAUACCCUGGUAGUCCAUGCCGUAAACGGUGGGCGCGAGGUGUGGGGUCCUUCCACGGACUCCGUGCCGUAGCUAACGCAUUAAGCGCCCCGCCUGGG